Phyllostomus discolor (pale spear-nosed bat) is the source of this 122-nucleotide small nucleolar RNA. RefSeq annotates it as small nucleolar RNA SNORA32. The transcript has a single exon. Lineage: Eukaryota; Metazoa; Chordata; Mammalia; Chiroptera; Phyllostomidae. The record is from RefSeq and is a predicted model, not a curated record.
UGGUCAUUACCAAGGCUUUUAGGACGCAGUUUUCUCGUUUGUCACGGACAUGACCACAACACAUUUUCCCACUGGGUUUUCUCUCUGCCACGGUACUAGCAUUCCGCCUACUGGGGACAUUU